This 549-nucleotide ribosomal RNA is filed under the name uncultured bacterium. RNAcentral's name for it is "bacterial SSU rRNA". It matches the Rfam family "Bacterial small subunit ribosomal RNA", at positions 773 to 1319 of the family's 1533-position model. The record is from RNAcentral.
AGGAAAUAGAUACCCCGGUAGUCCACGCCCUAAACGAUGUCGACUGGUUGUUGGGGGUUUGACACUCUCAGUAAACGAAAGCUAAACGCGUGAAAGUCGACCGCCUGGGGAGUACGGCCGCAAGGUUAAAACUCAAAGGAAUUGACGGGGACCCGCACAAGCGGUGGAUUAUGUGGAUUAAUUCGAUGCAACGCGAAAAACCUUACCUACCUUGACAUGUCCGGGAGCCUGCUGAGAGGCGGGUGUGCUCGAAAGAGAACCGGAACACAGGUGCUGCAUGGCUGUCGUCAGCUCGUGUCGUGAGAUGUUGGGUUAAGUCCCGCAACGAGCGCAACCCUUGCCAUUAGUUGCCACCCGUAAGGGGGCACUCUAAUGGGACUGCCGGUGACAAACCGGAGGAAGGUGGGGAUGACGUCAAGUCCUCAUGGCCCUUAUGGGUAGGGCUUCACACGUAAUACAAUGGCGCGUACAGAGGGUUGCCAAGGAGCGAUCUGGAGCCAAUCCCGUAAAGCGCGUCGUAGUCCGGAUUGCAGUCUGCAACUCGACUGC